This 419-nucleotide ribosomal RNA is filed under the name uncultured bacterium. Its description in RNAcentral is "bacterial SSU rRNA". It matches the Rfam family "Bacterial small subunit ribosomal RNA", at positions 32 to 441 of the family's 1533-position model. The record is from RNAcentral.
AAUCAACGCUGGCGGCGUGCCUCAGACAUGCAAGUCGAACGAUUAAAGCUCUCUUCGGAGAGUGUAUAGAGUGGCGCACGGGUGAGUAACACGUAAGUAAUCUACCUUUGAGUGGGGAAUAACAGUCGGAAACGACUGCUAAUACCGCAUAAUGCAGCGGCAUCGCAAGAUGACAGUUGUUAAAGGAGCAAUCCGCUUAAAGAGGAGCUUGCGGCAGAUUAGCUAGUUGGUAAGGUAAUGGCUUACCAAGGCUACGAUCUGUAUCCGGUCUAAGAGGACGGUCGGACACACUGACACUGAAUAACGGGUCAGACUCCUACGGGAGGCAGCAGUCGGGAAUUUUGGGCAAUGGGCGAAAGCCUGACCCAGCAACGCCGCGUGAAGGAUGAAGUAUUUCGGUAUGUAAACUUCGAAAGAAU